RNAcentral lists this ribosomal RNA (514 nucleotides) under uncultured Glomeromycotina. Its description in RNAcentral is "SSU rRNA". It matches the Rfam family "Eukaryotic small subunit ribosomal RNA", at positions 569 to 1086 of the family's 1831-position model. The record is from RNAcentral. Lineage: Eukaryota; Fungi; Glomeromycota.
AGCAGCCGCGGUAAUUCCAGCUCCAAUAGCGUAUAUUAAAGUUGUUGCAGUUAAAAAGCUCGUAGUUGAAUUUCGGGAUCAAUAUAUUGGUCGUGCCUUCGGUAUGCACUGGUAUUAUUGAUUUCUACCUUCUGACGAACUAUGAUGUCAUUAAUUUGGUGUCAUGGGGAAUCAGGACUGUUACUUUGAAAAAUUAGAGUGUUUAAAGCAGGCACACGCUUGAAUACAUUAGCAUGGAAUAAUGAAAUAGGACGUUUGACCCUAUUUUGUUGGUUUCUAGGAUCGACGUAAUGAUUAAUAGGGAUAGUUGGGGGCAUUAGUAUUCAAUUGUCAGAGGUGAAAUUCUUGGAUUUAUUGAAGACUAACUACUGCGAAAGCAUUUGCCAAGGAUGUUUUCAUUAAUCAAGAACGAAAGUUAGGGGAUCGAAGACGAUCAGAUACCGUCGUAGUCUUAACCAUAAACUAUGCCGACUAGGGAUCGGAUGAUGUUAAUUUUAAUGUACUCGUUCGGUCG